UAUACGACCGUACCGCAAACCGACACUGGUGCGCGAGAUGAGUAUUCUAAGGCGCUUGAGAGAACUCAGGAGAAGGAACUCGGCAAAUUGACACCGUAACUUCGGAAGAAGGUGUGCCCUAUUAGUGUGUAGUGAACAACGAAGCAUGAAUGGGUUGCAAAAAAUCGGUGGCUGCGACUGUUUAUUAAAAACACAGCACUCUGCAAACACGAAAGUGGACGUAUAGGGUGUGACGCCUGCCCGGUGCUGGAAGAUUAAAUGAUGGGGUGCAAGCUCUUGAUUGAAGUCCCAGUAAACGGCGGCCGUAACAAAAACGGUCCUAAGGUAGCGAAAUUCCUUGUCGGGUAAGUUCCGACCUGCACGAAUGGCGUAACGAUGGCCACACUGUCUCCUCCUGAGACUCAGCGAAGUUGAAAUGUUUGUGAUGAUGCAAUCUCCCCGCGGAAAGACGGAAAGACCCCAUGAACCUUUACUGUAGCUUUGUAUUGGACUUUGAACAGAUCUGUGUAGGAUAGGUGGGAGGCUUUGAAGCAGGGUCGCUAGAUCUUGUGGAGCCAACGUUGAAAUACCACCCUGGUGUGUUUGAGGUUCUAACCUAGGUCCAUUAUCUGGAUCGGGGACAGUGCAUGGUAGGCAGUUUGACUGGGGCGGUCUCCUCCCAAAGCGUAACGGAGGAGUUCGAAGGUACGCUAGUUACGGUCGGACAUCGUGACGAUAGUGCAAUGGCAUAAGCGUGCUUAACUGCGAGACUGACAAGUCGAGCAGAUGCGAAAGCAGGACAUAGUGAUCCGGUGGUUCUGUAUGGAAGGGCCAUCGCUCAACGGAUAAAAGGUACUCUGGGGAUAACAGGCUGAUACCGCCCAAGAGUUCAUAUCGACGGCGGUGUUUGGCACCUCGAUGUCGGCUCAUCUCAUCCUGGGGCUGUAGCCGGUCCCAAGGGUAUGGCUGUUCGCCAUUUAAAGAGGUACGUGAGCUGGGUUUAAAACGUCGUGAGACAGUUUGGUCCCUAUCUUCCGUGGGCGCUGCAGAUUUGAGGAAGCCUGCUCCUAGUACGAGAGGACCGGAGUGGACACACCUCUGGUGUAUCGGUUGUCACGCCAGUGGCAUUGCCGAGUAGCUAAGUGUGGAAGAGAUAACCGCUGAAAGCAUCUAAGCGGGAAACUCGUUUCAAGAUGAGAUCUGCCGGGGCCUUGAGCCCCCUAAAGAGUCGUUCAAGACCAGGACGUUGAUAGGUCAGGUGUGGAAGCAAAAAAC
RNAcentral lists this ribosomal RNA (1254 nucleotides) under metagenome. RNAcentral describes it as "bacterial LSU rRNA". It matches the Rfam family "Bacterial large subunit ribosomal RNA", at positions 1635 to 2881 of the family's 2925-position model. The record is from RNAcentral.